UGAGGAAUAUUGGUCAAUGGACGGAAGUCUGAACCAGCCAAGUAGCGUGCAGGAUGACGGCCCUCCGGGUUGUAAACUGCUUUUAGUUGGGAAUAAAAAAAGGGACGUGUCCCUUAUUGUAUGUACCUUCAGAAAAAGGACCGGCUAAUUCCGUGCCAGCAGCCGCGGUAAUACGGAAGGUCCAGGCGUUAUCCGGAUUUAUUGGGUUUAAAGGGAGCGUAGGCGGAUUGUUAAGUCAGCGGUUAAAGGGUGUGGCUCAACCAUACAUUGCCGUUGAAACUGGCGAUCUUGAGUGCAGACAGGGAUGCCGGAAUUCGUGGUGUAGCGGUGAAAUGCUUAGAUAUCACGAAGAACUCCGAUCGCGAAGGCAGGUGUCCGGGCUGCAACUGACGCUGAGGCUCGAAAGUGUGGGUAUCAAACAGGAUUAGAUACCCUGGUAGUCCACACAGUAAACGAUGUAUACUCGCGGUUUGCGAUAGACAGUAAGCCGCCAGCGAAAGCAUUAAGUAUACCACCUGGGGAGUACGCCGGCNCGGU
RNAcentral lists this ribosomal RNA (537 nucleotides) under uncultured bacterium. RNAcentral's name for it is "bacterial SSU rRNA". It matches the Rfam family "Bacterial small subunit ribosomal RNA", at positions 355 to 895 of the family's 1533-position model. The record is from RNAcentral.